GAUUAACGCUGGCGGCGUGCCUAACACAUGCAAGUCGAGCGGCAGCGAGUUUUACACUGAAUUCUGGAAGCUUCUAGUUGAAAGAGAAGAUUUAUUCAAGAAUUUUGUGUAAAAUGUCGGCGAGCGGCGGACGGCUGAGUAACGCGUGGGAACGUACCCCAAAGUGAGGGAUAACGCAUCGAAAGGUGUGCUAAUACCGCAUAUGGUCUUCGGAUUAAAGCCUUCGGGCGCUUUGGGAACGGCCUGCGUAAGAUUAGAUAGUUGGUGGGGUAAUGGCCUACCAAGUCGACGAUCUUUAACUGGUGUGAGAGGAUGAGCAGUCAGACUGGAACUGAGACACGGUCCAGACUCCUACGGGAGGCAGCAGUGAGGAAUCUUCCACAAUGGGCGAAAGCCUGAUGGAGCAACGCCGCGUGCAGGAUGAAGGCCUUCGGGUUGUAAACUGCUUUUAUAAGUGAGGAUUAUGACAGUAACUUAUGAAUAAGGAUCGGCUAACUACGUG
Molecule: ribosomal RNA, 502 nt
Filed under: uncultured bacterium
Lineage: Bacteria
Description: partial 16S ribosomal RNA
Rfam family: Bacterial small subunit ribosomal RNA
Source: RNAcentral